ACACUGUGACAUGGGGACACUGUGACAUGGGGACACUGUGACAUGGGGACACCAUGGGAUGGGGACACUGGGGGAUGGGGACACCGUGGGAUGGGGACACUGUGACAUGGGGACACUGGGGGAUGGGGACACUGGGGGAUGGGGACACUGUGACAUGGGGACACUGUGACAUGGGGACACCGUGGGAUGGGGACACUGUGACAUGGGGACACCAGGGGAUGGGGACGCUGUGACAUGGGGACACUGUGACAUGGGGACACCACGGGAUGGGGACACUGUGACACAGGGACACCGCAGGAUGGGGACACUGACAUGGGGACGCUGUGACAUGGGGACACUGGGGGAUGGGGACACUAUGACAUGGGGACACUGUGACAUGGGGACACCGCGGGAUGGGGACGCUGUGACAUGGGGACACCAGGGGAUGGGGACGCUGUGACAUGGGGACACUGUGACAUGGGGACACCAGGGGAUGGGGACAGUGUGACAUGGGGACAGUGUGACAUGGGGACAUGGGGACACUAUGACAUGGGGACACCAGGGGUUGGGGACACUAUGACAUGGGGACACUGUGACAUGGGGACACUGCAGCCACUGUCACCGUCACAGCACGGGGCGCCCUGUCCCCAAUGUGUCCCCAAGGCUCCCUGUCACCUGGGGGUCCUUCGUCACCCAGGUGUCCCCUGUCACCCAGGUGUCCCCUGCCACCCAAGUCUCUUUUGUCACCUGGGAUCUCCACGUCACCCAAGUGUCCUUUGUCACCCAGGUGUCCCCUGUCACCCAGGUGACGUCCUCGGUCACCCAGAUGCCCUUUGCCACUUGGGUGUCCUU
Molecule: long non-coding RNA, 831 nt
Organism: Numida meleagris (helmeted guineafowl)
Lineage: Eukaryota; Metazoa; Chordata; Aves; Galliformes; Numididae
Source: Ensembl